RNAcentral lists this long non-coding RNA (712 nucleotides) under Capsicum annuum. RNAcentral describes it as "long non-coding RNA (CANN_LNC001923)". Lineage: Eukaryota; Viridiplantae; Streptophyta; Magnoliopsida; Solanales; Solanaceae. The record is from RNAcentral.
UCACUUCCAAUCACAUUUCUUUAGCUACUAACAACUUCAAGAAUACGUCGUGCAUGGCGGGAGCUUUAGUGCAUGGAACUGUGCUUUUUUCUGAGGAACUUGCAUUAUGUACUCCCAUAAAAUCCAAGAAAACCAAACCCCAUUUGCCUAUUUCUCCCAUUUUGUCUUCACUGAAACCAUCUUCAAGAUUACAGCUGCGUAUGAUAGAUUCUUAUGGUCCGACCCUUCCUCGAACCUCGUGCACAGCAGGAUUUUCUGAGGAACUUGCAUUCUUUCCCUCCAUAAAACUCAAGAAAACCAAACCCCAUUUGUCUAUUUCUCCCAUUUUGUCUUCCUUCAAUCGGUCUUCAAGAUUAUGGGUGCGUGCAGUAGAUUCCUGUGGUCCGACCCUUCCUCGAACCUCGUGCACAGCAGCAUUUUCUGAGGAAGUUGCAUUCUUUCCCUCCAUAAAACUCAAGAAAACCAAACCCCACUUGCCUAUUUCUCCCAUUUUGUCUUCCUUCAAUACAUCUUCAAGAUUACAGCUGCGUGCGAUAGAUUCUUGUGAUCCGAUCCUUCGUCGAACCCCGUGCAUAGCAGGAGCUAUAGUGCAUCGAACUGCUCCUUUUUCUGCUUCUGCAUUGUCUGAUGGAGCUGAUGAAGCUGCAUUGUCACUGGAAGAGGAGAGUGAAGAAGAAGAAGAUGAGGAGGAGAAAGAAGGAGAUGGUGGAGG